This 360-nucleotide ribosomal RNA is filed under the name Triticum aestivum (bread wheat). Its description in RNAcentral is "partial small subunit ribosomal RNA". The record is from RNAcentral. Lineage: Eukaryota; Viridiplantae; Streptophyta; Magnoliopsida; Poales; Poaceae.
AUGGCGGAUCUCAAGACCGCCGCCUACCAAGCCGACCACGUCCUCGAAAACUUCCGCUAUGAGGCGCUGCGGUGCUGUGCCGACGACCACAUCCGCGGCCCCUUCUCCGCAAUGAAGCAUGAUAAGCAAGCGGAGAAGGAUUAUGAAGAGGAGGAAGACAAUGAGGAGGACGAGGAUGAGCAAGGUACUGUGUUUGAGGAGGAGGAAGAUUCUCAUUUUGAUGUCAAAGCGCCAAGUGUUAUGCUAUGCAAAAUUGCAUUGUUUGGCUAUCAACGUUCAAUAUUUUUGCUGUAUAAAGUUCAAAGGAGGAGCUGUCCAAAAUUCAAAAGCAAUGAUGCCCAAUUCUUUUCAUCACUAUGA